This 296-nucleotide small RNA is filed under the name Penicillium oxalicum 114-2. RNAcentral describes it as "5' ureB small RNA". It matches the Rfam family "5' ureB small RNA". The record is from Rfam by way of RNAcentral. Lineage: Eukaryota; Fungi; Ascomycota; Eurotiomycetes; Eurotiales; Aspergillaceae.
CCUCUUCCACUUGCUGCGGACAGAUGAGAUGGAUAUGUGUAUCGAAUCCGCCCGCCGUGACGAUCUUGUUCUCCCCAGCAAUGACAUCCGUCGACGCGCCAAUCACCAAGUCCGGAUGCACUCCAUCCAUGACGUCGGGAUUUCCCGCCUUUCCGAUGCCCGCAAUCAUCCCAUUCUUGAUUCCAAUGUCUGCCUUGUAGAUACCCGUAUAGUCGAUGAUCAAGGCGUUCGUGAUCACCGUGUCCACACACUCGGCCGCUGAUCGUCCCGAGGCCUGUCCCAUCCCUUCACGCAGG